This is a long non-coding RNA of Pistacia vera, 735 nucleotides long. RefSeq lists it as uncharacterized. Lineage: Eukaryota; Viridiplantae; Streptophyta; Magnoliopsida; Sapindales; Anacardiaceae. The transcript has 3 exons. The record is from RefSeq and is a predicted model, not a curated record.
AGUAUUCUUUCUUGACUUAUUAGAUGCAUCCAUUGUAGUUGAGCUAAUAUUAUGGUGUCUACCAGAAUUGAUUCCCUCUAAUUUUUAUUUAUUAUUAAAUCACAUUUUCUUUCUUUUCCUUUCUUAAUCAGUUGUUGCAUUUGCCUUUUCUAUUUUGUGCCAGGUGACAUGGGUACUUUUUGUUACUGGGUUCAGGUCACACAAUCAGGGUUCUUCCCUAAAGCCUCAUGUCAUAGGAAACCUUUUACAUGACUGGUGGUUGGAAUACAGUUGAAUCCUCAGUUUAUGGGCAUUGAUCUCAGAUGAGUGUGGCAGGAGCCAGAAAAGCUGGUCAAAGUCAAUAUGGGUGGUUGAAGGAAGCAUUGGAUAGAUUAGUAGAGCAACUAACGUCGCAACGACAACAACUUGAUGAGGAAUAACUGUUAAAUCAUUCUAUGAAGCUAAUCAAGAAAAUCUGAAUUGUAAAUAAAAUUUUGUUGAAGACAAAGAGAUUGAAUUUAGGGCGGAUAAACUUGAGCUCGAACUAGUUGGGAUGGAAGCAAACAAGAAACUAUGACAACAUUGAAGAUUUUGGGCUAUAGGAAAGAACAAAGAUGUUUGCUAUUUUGUUUAUUGUUUCACUCUUUUGGGAUUGGAAUCCUGAAACUUACUUAGAAGAUUCUGUGGUAGUGGGUAAGCAGGAAUUGUAAUGUCGACAGUUUUUGUUAAUAAAGAAGUGCAAUUUGAUUUGGGGAA